GGUUGUAGUUCAGCGGUAGAGCACUUGUCUAGCACGUGCAAGGCCCUGGGAUCGAUCCUCAGCACCA
Molecule: transfer RNA, 67 nt
Filed under: Marmota monax (woodchuck)
Lineage: Eukaryota; Metazoa; Chordata; Mammalia; Rodentia; Sciuridae
Description: tRNA.Ala
Source: RNAcentral